This 681-nucleotide ribosomal RNA is filed under the name Triticum aestivum (bread wheat). RNAcentral describes it as "partial small subunit ribosomal RNA". Lineage: Eukaryota; Viridiplantae; Streptophyta; Magnoliopsida; Poales; Poaceae. The record is from RNAcentral.
AUGGACGUUACCGGGGACGCCGGUGGAGGUCGCCGCCCCAACUUCCCCCUGCAGCUCCUCGAGAAGAAGGAGGAGCAUCCGUGCUCCAUCUCCCCGGAUGCUGGGCUCGGGACGAAUGGGUCGGCGACGGGGGAGCUGCAGGUGCGGAAGGCGGCACCGCCUAAGCGGACCACGAGCAAGGACCGGCAUACGAAGGUGGACGGGCGCGGCCGCCGCAUCCGGAUGCCGGCGAUCUGCGCGGCGCGGGUGUUCCAGCUGACGCGGGAACUGGGGCACAAGACGGACGGCGAGACCAUCGAGUGGCUCCUGCAGCAGGCGGAGCCCGCUGUGAUCGCGGCCACCGGCACAGGCACCAUCCCGGCCAACUUCACAUCUCUCAACAUCUCCCUCCGCUCCUCCGGCUCCAUGCUCUCCACCAUACCCGCCCACCUCCGCGCCGCCGGCCUGCCGGGGUCUCGCUUUGGAGGUGGCCCACGGGCGGACGCGUGGGACCGCUUCGUCGGUCUCGGGUUCGGCGGUGGCCUCGAGAGCCCGGCCUCCACCACCACCUCGUCGUCGUCCCCGCUGCUGCUGAGCUUCCACUCCGGAAGCGUCGGCCUCGACGUUUCGCCGUCGUCGGCGACGGCUGCGGCCAACACGGAACUGUCCAGGAAGCGGCGUUGGGAGCAAGAAAUGCAGUAG